Molecule: ribosomal RNA, 414 nt
Filed under: uncultured microorganism
Description: bacterial SSU rRNA
Rfam family: Archaeal small subunit ribosomal RNA
Source: RNAcentral
CAGCAGCCGCGGUAAUACCGGCGGCCCGAGUGGCGGCCACUAUUAUUGGGCUUAAAGCGUCCGUAGCCGGGUUGGUUAGUCUCCCGGGAAAUCUGGCCGCUUAACGGUCAGAAUUCCGGGAGAUACUGCCAGCCUAGGGACCGGGAGAGGCCGAGGGUCUUCCCGGAGUAGGGGUGAAAUCCUAUAAUCCCGGGAGGACCACCUGUGGCGAAGGCGCUCGGCUGGAACGGGUCCGACGGUGAGGGACGAAGGCCAGGGGAGCAAACCGGAUUAGAUACCCGGGUAGUCCUGGCUGUAAACGAUGCGGACUUUGUGUCGGACAAGCUAUGAGCUUGUCCGGUGCCGGAGGGAAACCGUUAAGUCCGCCGCCUGGGGAGUACGGCCGCAAGGCUGAAACUUAAAGGAAUUGGCGGG